UAACUGCCAAGGCCACCACUAAAACAUGUCUCUAAGUGCCACGUCUACAGGUCUUUUAAAUGCCUCCAGGGAUGAUUAGAAAGAAGUCACAU
Molecule: long non-coding RNA, 92 nt
Organism: Strigops habroptila (Kakapo)
Lineage: Eukaryota; Metazoa; Chordata; Aves; Psittaciformes; Psittacidae
Exons: 3
Source: RefSeq, a predicted model, not a curated record